CCUACGGGAGGCUGCAGUGAGGAAUCUUCCACAAUGGACGAAAGUCUGAUGGAGCGACACCGCGUGAAGGAUGAAGGCCUAACGGUUGUAAACUUCUUUUCUGAAGGAGCAUAAUGAGAGUACUUCAGGAAUAAGGGACGGCUAAAUACGUGCCAGCAGCCGCGGUAAUACGUAUGUCUCGAGCGUUACCCGGAAUCACUGGGUGUAAAGGGUUCGUAGGCGGUUUAAUAAGUUGGAUAUGAAAGACCGGAGCUCAACUUCGUGUUUGUGUUCAAAACUGUUAAACUAGAAUCAGGGAGAGGUAAGUAGAAUUCCAAGUGUAGGGGUGCAAUCCGUAGAUACUUAGAGGAAUACCAAAAGCGAAGGCAACUUACUGGAACUGUAUUGACGCUGAGGAACGAAAGCGUGGGUAGCGAAAAGGAUUAGAUACCCUUGUAGUC
Molecule: ribosomal RNA, 440 nt
Filed under: uncultured bacterium
Lineage: Bacteria
Description: bacterial SSU rRNA
Rfam family: Bacterial small subunit ribosomal RNA
Source: RNAcentral